AGUGAACGCUGGCGGUAGGCCUAACACAUGCCAGUCGAACGGCAGCACAGUAAGAGCUUGCUCUUACGGGUGGCGAGUGGCGGACGGGUGAGGAAUACAUCGGAAUCUACUUUUUCGUGGGGGAUAACGUAGGGAAACUUACGCUAAUACCGCAUACGACCUACGGGUGAAAGCAGGGGAUCUUCGGACCUUGCGCGAUUGAAUGAGCCGAUGUCGGAUUAGCUAGUUGGCGGGGUAAAGGCCCACCAAGGCGACGAUCCGUAGCUGGUCUGAGAGGAUGAUCAGCCACACUGGGACUGAGACACGGUCCAGACUCCUACGGGAGGCAGUAGUGGGGUAUAUUGGACAAUGGGCGCAAGCCUGAUCCAGCCAUACCGCGUGGGUGAAGAAGGCCUUCGGGUUGUAAAGCCCUUUUGUUGGGAAAGAAAAGCAGCAGGUUAAUACCCCGCUGUUCUGACGGUACCCAAAGAAUAAGCACCGGCUAACUUCGUG
Molecule: ribosomal RNA, 492 nt
Filed under: uncultured bacterium
Lineage: Bacteria
Description: partial 16S ribosomal RNA
Rfam family: Bacterial small subunit ribosomal RNA
Source: RNAcentral